UAGUAGGUGGUGUAAUGGAAACACGAAGGGUUUUGAUCUCUUAUUUGCAGGUUCGAAUCCUGUCUUUCUAA
RNAcentral lists this transfer RNA (71 nucleotides) under Indotyphlus maharashtraensis. Its description in RNAcentral is "tRNA-Gln". It matches the Rfam family "tRNA". Rfam says of the family: Transfer RNA (tRNA) molecules are approximately 80 nucleotides in length. Their secondary structure includes four short double-helical elements and three loops (D, anti-codon, and T loops). Lineage: Eukaryota; Metazoa; Chordata; Amphibia; Gymnophiona; Indotyphlidae. The record is from RNAcentral.